AGCCUCGUGGUGAAGAUACACGCCGGAUUGCAAAUUCAGAGACGCAGAGUAAUACGCUGCCGGGGCUU
Molecule: transfer RNA, 68 nt
Filed under: Rhinichthys osculus (speckled dace)
Lineage: Eukaryota; Metazoa; Chordata; Actinopteri; Cypriniformes; Leuciscidae
Description: tRNA-Cys
Source: RNAcentral